Molecule: long non-coding RNA, 2291 nt
Filed under: Marmota monax (woodchuck)
Lineage: Eukaryota; Metazoa; Chordata; Mammalia; Rodentia; Sciuridae
Source: RNAcentral
CUUCAGAGUGUCAGCCAGGUCAAGAGCAGCAGCAACUGACACUGUGGAACCUCUGCCAGACACCACUCCAGUGCGGUCCUCUUCACCAUCUGCUAAGCGGGCACUGGCCUCACACCCAGUUUGGCCCCGGGAGGUUAGACCCCUCCCCCAAGCUGACAGGUCUCACAAGGUGGAACCAAGAGGAAAUUCAGGCUUCCAGCUUCAGAGCUCGCCUUUAAUGACACACUGCUCUCUCUACGGCCAGGUUGAACCCCGUAGUUAGCUUUUACCUUCCUUCUCCAUGUGGAAUUGCAGCAGCCUAAAAUUUUCCAAGAUCACCCAAAGAAACCUCAGAGUCAACCUUUUAUUCUUACUUCUUUCAAAAAAAUAAAAAAGAAAGAAAGAAAAAGAAAAAUUGAUAGAAAAGGGUGGUCUUACACACAGAGCCCAGCAAUAAAUCACGUUUUCUUCUUUAACAGGGAAGGGCACAUAGAAAUGAAGUUAGUUUUUGGAGUUCCCGAGGAUUACAGGGCAUAGAACCCUGAUCACAGAUAUUGCGCUGCAUAAGAAGGCCGACUGAGAUGGGGACCUUAGAGCUGAUUUUAGGAGGAGCUCAUGCAGGAAUCUGAGGUCUUAUUUAAGAAACAAGCAGAGGAUAGAGUUCAAACCUGGCACAGUGCUGGAGUAGGAGGGGUGGGGGAUGUCACAAGGGUGGAAGUCAGGAAGGGGGAUUCUCAAGAUGAGGGCAAGCUCUGCCCUAAUCCCUGGCUGACCUCAUCCAUGUUAUGGUUUGGAUGUGAGGUGUCCUCCAAAAGCUCACGUGUGAGACGAUGCGAUGUGAAAGGGUUGAGGGGAAAUGACUGGGUUGUGACAGCCUUCACCCAAUCAGCCAAUUGAUCACCUGAUGGGAUUAUUCAAGUGGUAAUUGAAGACAGGUGGGGUGUGGCUGGAGGGGCAUGGGGGUGUGGCUUUAGGAUAUAUAUUUUGUAUCUGGCAAGUGGAGAUCUCUCUCUCUCUGCUUCCUGAUCAUCACGUGAGACUCUUCCCUCCACCACACUCUUCUGCCAUGAUGUCCUGCCUCACCUCGCGCCUCGAGGAAUGGAGCCUGCUGUCUACGGAUUGAGACCUCUGAAACCAUGAGCCCUCAAAUCAAGUUUUCCUCCUCUGCUAAUUAAAACAACCCACACAAGGUGCACGUUCACAUGGAAACCAUUAAGGAAACAGGAAGGAGGUAGCAGCCAGAGGUGAGGGAAGUGAGAAGACACCUGUAGUCACCAGAGGGGAGACGGUGGGUUCAACUGUCUCUUAGAGCCACAUUCUUCACUAAGUCUCUAAAACAAACAUCCACAAUGCCCAUGAUCAAACAAGACAUCGGUCAGUGUGUGAAUACAUAGAAAAGGUGACCCUGUAAUAAACAAAAGCAAUCAUUGGCAACCAAUUCUAAGAAGACUGAAAUGUUGGAGUUAAAAGAAGAACUGUGAAACACCUAUGAUAAUUGCACUCAAAGACUUAAAGGAAAAUAUGGUCAUAAUGAGAGAGUUGAUUAUGAAUCUUGAUAGGAAAAAAGGAAACCAAACAUGUAGGAAAAAUAGAGAACGAAAUGACAAGUAUUAUUAUGUAUAAGCAAACAAUUAUAGGACUUAAAAAUCUGAGAAGAAAAAUUACAGCAGAUUGGAAACAGCAAAAUAAUAAACAGAUGAGGUAAAUAGAAAAGAACAAAAUCAUAAAAAUAAAACUAAUCACACAAUUAAUUUCAUAAACAUGGGUGGAUUAAAUGCUUAAAAGGUAGAAAUGAUUUGAUUGCAUAAAAACAUAAAGUUUAACUAUAUGCUGUUUACAUUAGUCAGGGUUCUCCAGAAGAACAGAGCUAAGAGGUGGGGUGUGUGUGUGUGUGUGUGUGUGUGUGUGUGUGUGAGAGAGAGAGAGAGAGAGAGAGAGAGAGAGAGAGACUGAAAAUUAUUCAUGCUACUGUAGAGUCUGGCAAGUCCAAUGCCUGCUCAGCAGGCUGGACAGAUGGAGAAGAGCUGAUGUAGCUCUAGUUCAAGGGGAGAAAACAGACAUAAUUCCUUUUGCCUUGGGACUUCUCAGUCAUUUUUCUCUGAAGACCCUCAACUGAUUGGAGGAGGCCACCACACAAUGGAGGAUAAUCUAUCUGCUUUAUUCAAUGGUCACUGAUUCUUUGUUAAUCUCAUCUAAAAAUACCUUGAUAAUAACAUCCAGACUGAUGCUAUACCCAAUAGCUAGGUACCACAACCUUGCCAAGUUGAUGCAUAAAUUUCUGAACCUCCUUAUCUCCUUAUGGUCUUGGCUGA